RNAcentral lists this ribosomal RNA (468 nucleotides) under uncultured bacterium. RNAcentral describes it as "partial 16S ribosomal RNA". It matches the Rfam family "Bacterial small subunit ribosomal RNA", at positions 28 to 507 of the family's 1533-position model. The record is from RNAcentral.
GACGAACGCUGGCGGCGUGCUUAACACAUGCAAGUCUAACGGAAAGGCCCUGCUUUUGUGGGGUGCUCGAGUGGCGAACGGGUGAGUAACACGUGAGUAACCUGCCCUUGACUUUGGGAUAACUUCAGGAAACUGGGGCUAAUACCGGAUAGGAGCUCCUGCUGCUUGGUGGGGGUUGGAAAGUUUCGGCGGUUGGGGAUGGACUCGCGGCUUAUCAGCUUGUUGGUGGGGUAGUGGCUUACCAAGGCUUUGACGGGUAGCCGGCCUGAAAGGGUGACCGGCCACAUUGGGAAUGAGGUACGGCCCAGACUCCUACGGGAGGCAGCAGUGGGGAAUAAUGCACAAUGGGCGGAAGACUGAUGCAGCAACGCCGCGUGAGGGAUGACGGACUUCGGGUUGUAAACCGCUUUCGCCUGUGACGAAGAGUGAGUGAAGGUAAUGGGUAAAGAAGCACCGGAUAACUACGUG